GUUACGGUUAAUAAGUAAAGUAAAUAAAGGUUUCUCAAAAACAGCGUAAUGACCUGGGAGAGAACAACGAUAACAAUGAACCAUUCCCAUGAGUGUUGCCUGGCAAUAUUUGUGGGGAUUUUUUGAUUAUUGUUAGCAUUUUUCUAGACAAGAACAACUGAAAAAAGAGUUUCUUUUUUCCAUUAUGUUUUGUUUCUGAGUUUAACCAAAUCACUCAUUAUUUCAAGGAGGAAUUAGGUUAUGUCAGUACAAUUAGAAGUUAAAGAAAGAGCUAUCCGUCCACGUUCACUAAGAAAUCAGCUACGUCACGAAGGGAAAGUACCUGCCAUUGUUUACGGUUACCAAAUUGAAAGUACACCAAUCUAUUUUG
This is a non-coding RNA of Sphingobacterium faecium PCAi_F2.5, 370 nucleotides long. The record is from Rfam. NCBI's taxonomy places the organism in Bacteria, Pseudomonadati, Bacteroidota, Sphingobacteriia, Sphingobacteriales, Sphingobacteriaceae.